Heterocephalus glaber (naked mole-rat) is the source of this 785-nucleotide long non-coding RNA. RefSeq lists it as uncharacterized. NCBI's taxonomy places the organism in Eukaryota, Metazoa, Chordata, Mammalia, Rodentia, Bathyergidae. The record is from RefSeq and is a predicted model, not a curated record.
UCAGAAUGUUCUCCUGAUGGAAGGUCAAAUUCUGCUUGGCUUUUGGUGGAGAAACAGUUGACAGCAAAGAAAAGGCAGAAAACACAGAAGAACCAACAAACUACUGAAGGAUAAGAACAAAAUGUGGAUUUUCCAAGGACAGAGGAGAGUGUUCACUGCCUGGAUAUUAAUUUUCUUCCCAUGGAAAAGGAGCCAGGAGAUGGAUCACUACGUGUUUAACUAGCACAGAGAAAGCAGUCCGCAUCCAUCUAUCUUCCAUUCAGUCUCCCUUCAGAAAGACAUUAUGGGUGAAUCCCACUCCUCUGACUACAAGUGUCUCGAGUAACAGCUUUGCAAGUGGCCUUAACAGAGUGUCAGGAAACCAAUCAAUGUAGCUUUUCACAAAGGAAUCUACUUGAUCAAUAUCACCAAGCACCUGCAGACCUAACACACAGAUCACAUAGGAGUUUUCAUGAUCAAUAGAAGUUAUACAGGAAAUAAAUUAUUGGGGAUAUUUACAUCGGUAUGUCAUAAAUGCUGUGUGCUGAUAGCUUUGUUCUUGGGGAGCUAUGCUAAUAUAAUAAAAGUGUUAGGAGCGACAGUGCUUAAGCUGCAGGAGAGCCUCUCAGGGUUAGCUUCAAAGAUGUAACUAGUUUUGAAGGAAAAUUGGUUUAAAAAUGUUGCCCUAAUUUUUCCUCACCAAGUAGAUUGUAAACUUUUUGAUGGAUGGGAUUAUUUUGAUGUUUCCAUACCACGAGUAUUGACAUAACAUAGGGAAAUCAAUAAAUUCUUGCUGAGUUGAUUAC